AUGGCCACCGCCGCCGCGCUCUGCCGGGCCCUCGCCCUGGCACCGGCGCUGCUCCUCCUCCGCCAGGCUCUCGUGCGCCUCCUCUCCACGCAGGCCCAGUCCUCCACGGCCCCCACCAUCAGCCCCGCCGAGCUCGUCCGCAUCAAGAACUCCAUCCGCAGCGCCGCCACGCCGCCCGACGAGGUCGCCGCCCUCUUCCUGAAAGGCAUCCCGCACCCGCCCUUCCUCGGCGACCGCUGCAUCUUCUCCCUCGCCGUCUCCCGCCUCACCGCCGCCACCCACCCAACCUCGUCUGCUCCGUGCUCUCCGCCUCCCUCACCGCCCUCCCGGUGCCGCAUCAUUCUGAGGGCUUCCUUAUCCGCCUCAUCGCGCUCUACACCGCCGCCAGCAUGCCCACACACUCCCUCUCCACCUUCCGCCUCGUCGUGGCCCCUUCGACCGCGCCCUCUCCGCCCUCCUCGCCGCCUACUACGACGCCGGCCAGCCCGCCCGCGCCAUCUAGGCAUUCCGCGACCUCCCAGCCGAGCUCUCCGUCAUGCUGGGCGUCGUGUCCCACAACAUGCUCCUCAAGUGCAUGGUCACCACGGGGGACGUCGUUGGCGCCCGCCAGGUGUUCGACGGAAUGCCUAG
Molecule: ribosomal RNA, 630 nt
Filed under: Triticum aestivum (bread wheat)
Lineage: Eukaryota; Viridiplantae; Streptophyta; Magnoliopsida; Poales; Poaceae
Description: partial small subunit ribosomal RNA
Source: RNAcentral